Papaver somniferum (opium poppy) is the source of this 3435-nucleotide long non-coding RNA. RefSeq lists it as uncharacterized. Lineage: Eukaryota; Viridiplantae; Streptophyta; Magnoliopsida; Ranunculales; Papaveraceae. The record is from RefSeq and is a predicted model, not a curated record. The transcript is spliced from 4 exons.
UCAAAGCUAAAGUCCCUUUUCUAGAUUUCUCGGGGACCAUAAGAAAAAGAAAAAUUCCCACCUUUUGUUUCCUUCAAGUAACCGUUUCUUCUUUCUUUCAAUGGGAGAGUUGUUUGUUUAUCGAUUUUUAAGUCCUUUCAGUCAAAGGGUUCUUCUUACAUUGCAAGAGAAGAAAAUUCCUCUUUCUAACAAAAACCCAAAUGGUAUGAUGUAUUCUAAAUGUUUGCGGUUUGAACUGAACUAAAACUGAAAUAAGGGUGUGUAAUGUACCAAUUGUUGAUUAUGUUUUUGGUGAUUAAUCCAAAUGGGUACCAGUAGUCAAAUUUUAUGGUAAAUAAAAUGGGUACCUGAUUCUGAUGUUAUUACUCAAAUUCUUUGAGAAGAAUUACCCAAAACCAUCUCUUGUUAUUCCGCCUCAAUACGCCUCACUGUAAUCUCUCUGAUGUUCAUUUAAUAGCUUAGUCUGUAUGUUUUGAUUAUGAAUUGUUGAUCAGCCCCAUUGUUACUUGAAAAUGGAAUUAUGAUUUUCGUGAUUCUCAUUGUAUGUAUCCUGCAUAUUCAGAACUAUUCAUUUGUCUUGAUCAGAAGAACUAUUCAUUUGUCAUGUAAGUCAUUUACAUGGACUAAAUUCUGGAAUCUGCCAUGAAGGAUUAAUGUAUGUUUGGUUGUUAUCUCAUUGUCAUGAACUUAUCAGAAACCUUCUUAGUCAGUUGUUGUGUCUUGGUUUAAGUUAGUGGAAGCAUCAAACUAAGCAGUUGUUUUCUAUAGCAAAUGCUGUUCACAUGUGCAUAUUGCCGAUGGAGAAUAUAAAAAUGCAAUUGAAAGUGGUAGUCGAAAUGAAUCACCUCAUUGUUCAGAAACUAUCCAUGCCAAACCUGAUGGUAAGUGAAUCACCUCAUUUUUCUUGUGGUCAAAGGAGUUCAGUAAAAAUAGUCAUUAUUCAGAAACUUGUUACCUGGAUCUGCAAGCUUUCUCAAAUGUUGGGAGAGUUCUAUUUAUCUUGUUAAUGUCCAUAAGCAUGAAAUUCACAAUGGGCAGCUGAGCUUUAGGGGAAACGUGUACUUGAGUUUCUCAACUAGGUGUCGUGUACUGUGGAAAUGAUCUACCUGUAUGUUGACUGUUACAGCACAAUUGCGGCUACGGACUAUCGGGGAUCUUAGCUUCCUUAAAGGGAGUUUCAGAGGUGCGUUUUCAGGAUCCGAAUGCGGAAACAGUAAGAUGUUCAACCAUACAUGAGUGUGCUUGCAAUCUCAUCCUUUAUUUUCUUGCAAAUCUAAUUACAGGCUACCAUAAUCUAAUUUCAAUGGGCUUGAUGUACACUGUAGUGAUUUAUUUUGUAUAUACUUGGGGGUUGAAUUUAUCAAUCAGGCACCAGUUUCUGUGAUAACUAACAUUAUUUAUGUUUCCAUUCCGUCAUUAACUACACCCAACCUAAUUGUUGCUACUUUUCCACCUCCGUGGGAAGGACAGUGAGCCAGUUACCUUGCAGGCUACAACCAGGAUUCAGACCAAUGAUUCUGUUGUUGAGUAGGAUUUUGACAUCUUGAGUUUGCACUUAAAGUGUGGUUAGUCGCACACUUAAUGCCUACUUCCACAGCUGCAUCAAUUUUCCAUUUGUUUUAUUCUGAUCCAGUUAGAUCUCAAGGUGCAUCUUUUCAGUCUGAUGAUAACAAUGGCAUUGAAAUAUAUUUAAGCUUUAUUCAGUACCCAACACUAGCUCAGUUGCAUUAACUCCGUAAACAGUCAUUACUACUAAUAGUCUAAAAUGGUUAUUGAUGUCUCAUUCUUUGUUUCUCACUAGCAUUUUUAAUUUCCCCAUACUUGGCAUCUUGAGAGAUCCUAGUGAAUAUUGCUCAGUUAAUGCUUUGCUCGUUUUUUGUCAACUGACAGCUCUCAUGUGAAAUAUCUUUUGUAGCUCUCCGAAGAGAUACAGAACAACAGCUUUUCACUAUUUUAGAACCUUAGGUCAUCAAUGGCUUGCAUAUAAAACCUCUGGUACAUCUGGUAAAGUAUCCUUAACUCACAGUGUCAUCAGCUGGACAUGCUUUGCUUGCUUUCAUACAUGGUCAGCUUCCAGGGGAAAAAGCUUUUGAAGCUGUCGGAGGAGAUACCCAAUAAUAGCCUUUCCCUGUUUUAAACCCAUAAGUCAUUUUGGCAUAUAUAGCCUCUGGUGCUUCUGGUCACUGUAGUAAUACUGUCAUUUCUUGAUGUUGUCAAAGAAUAAUAGGGUCUCUAGGGAUGAAGAUUCUGAUGUUGACUAUUUCCUAAGAAGUGAAGCAAGUCUGUGUUUGAUAAUCUCCCUGCUAGGAUUCAAUUGGCUUUACAUGAUCUAAAUCAAGUUCAAAUUGAGUUUGACAAUGACCCAUCUUAUUUUUCUAGAAAAAAUUCUAGUGUUUUAUGUUUUAACUGCUAUGACCAAGACAAUGCAGCUGGUAUACAGGUCAAUGUAACCUUUCCCAGCAACUCCAACCAUGAUAUGUAAAAAUGUACAAAACCAGUAGUAACUCUACCGUGUACAUUGUUUCUUCCUAUGCCGGUAAAAGAGAGAUGUCCAGUAGCGGAUCGGUAAUGAAGCAACUCCAACAAUGCUGAAUUCCCUCAUCUACAAACUCCCAUAGUACAGAUUAAGGACGACCGGAAUCAGUAAAAAAGAUUUUAAGCUUACACACCACUGGAUGGUAGUGUAGGGGAUUACAAACCAAAACCUCCAAGGAACAGGUCCAAGGAAAGACGGAUUUUUUUUCCUUUGACAUAAAAGCGGUGAAAGCCCAAUUCAUGAUAAAAGCGGUGAAAGCCCAAUUAUCAGCUUUAACAUAUUUUAUCUUCUUCUUCGGCUCAUCAAAAAGAAAUGGAAAACCACGGUGUAACCGGACCGGAGUACUGUUGGUACUAUCUCAAUUCUCAAAAUUCAUAAUCAUGGGACAUUCAAAGCAGCAACAAUGGGAUGCAACAUGACCUUCUCAUCAGAAGAGGCAGAAGCUCUAGCUCUCCUCAAUACAACUCAAUGGGCAGUCACAAACAACAUACAACAAUUGUGAUUGAAUGAGACAACCAGGCAACAAUCAAGUAUCUUCAAGGCAGAGAAUCAACAGUCCAAUGGCAAUGUAUAACCAUCUUAGAUGAAGUUAAAUUAUUAGCUAAGAAUUUAGUCUCUUUUCUAGGUUUUCAGUAUGUAGAUAUGAGAGCUAACAAGGUGGCAGACUUGUUAGCAAAGAAGGGAAGAAGUUCUGAUAAUACAACUUCCUGGAAUGAAGAACCUCCUAGCCUUUUAAUUCCUUCAAUUGCUUUUGACACUGUCAAAGCAUAUGAAUCCUGUAACUUAAACAACAUUCUCCCUAUAACUGCUAUUACUGAUGUUAAUCUUAGAAAUUCAGCCAUUAGAAGAGUCAUUCCUCAUGAAAUGGUCUCUGAAGAGUCUGAAUACGCAGAUUAACG